Long non-coding RNA from Salvia miltiorrhiza (redroot sage), 2372 nucleotides. RefSeq lists it as uncharacterized. Lineage: Eukaryota; Viridiplantae; Streptophyta; Magnoliopsida; Lamiales; Lamiaceae. The record is from RefSeq and is a predicted model, not a curated record. The transcript is spliced from 2 exons.
UUUUUUCUAUUUUUACACAUUUUUUUAUUAUUUCGAUUUUUUUGAUUUUUUGGCUCGGUUCGAUUUUAAUUUUAAAAAUUUCGGUUAAUCUGGUUCGAUUUAUUUGGUUAAUUCAGUUCGGUUCAAUUUUUUUAAAUUGAAUUUAAAUUUAAUUUAGUUUGAUUUUAGCAAAAAAUCGAACCGAAAACUGAAUGCUCACCCCUACAAGCCAAAAUGCGACAUGUUCAUGAUAAUUGCCACUCAAAAGUCAAAAGUGUUCUCUCAAGCCUUAGAGCUCAUAAGUUAUAUGUUCGGAUGUCAAAUGUGACUUCUACCCCGGCCUUUAAUUUGUUGGGUAUGUACAAGUUACAUUCUCAAAAAAAAAAAAAAAAAAGGAUUGUAGUAUGUGGUUAUGUUGGUUCAUGUUAUAGGAGAAUAUUUGGUAACUAAGUUAUGCCUUUGUGUGGCAUUAAUUGGAUAAUCGAGAUAUGAUCUUUUUUCGCUUUACUUUGUUUUUUGUUUUCUCUAUUUUUAUUUCAUAAAAUAAAAUGAACAUAUUUCAACACAUCUUUAAUGUUAUUAUCUUUUGAAUUCUUUGAGUCAUUAGACUCAACAAAAUUAAAGAACAUAUACAAUCAAACAAUUAGUUGGUCAUAACGUAGCUCUAACCCUUUCCCUUUUUUUUACACGCAAACACACACACGCGCGUGCACGCGCGCACAAUGCAUGUGAUAAAAACUUUUCCUUUGUGCGUGCAUGUUUUGGCCUAGCGGUAGUGUGGUAAAUGUCCAAGGCCAGAAGUCCUGGGUUCGAAUCCACCGUGGUGUGGCCUUUAAAUUUCUUUAUUUAAUUGUUAAUUUAUAUAUAAAAAAAAACUUCUUUUGCGUAGUUGAUUUGAUCAAUUUACAAAAGUGGUUGUUCUCACAAUCAACUUUCCUUUAACUUUUCACUCAUAAUCUCACUAUAUACAUAUCUGUAUGUUUGUUCUUAGUUGGAAACCUUUUCCUUCAUCACCAUUCAUGAUCUUUGAGAGAAUUAAUUAGCUUAUUCCAAGGAUGGAUUCCAUCAGGCCUUGGCAGACGUGAAAUGUUGAAUUAAUGUGAGUUGUAAACUUUUGAAGCCUUUGGACCAUAAAUAACUAGUUGACAGGAGCAAUGAUAACUUCAUAAGCUUAUUAGGUUGUAGCUAGGAAACGACAAUUCAGAUAACAGGUAAAUUUUCUUUUUCUUUUCGAAACAUAACAUAUAUAACAUCUUUGAUUGAGCUAGAUAUAUAUGUCUUACAAUUAUAUUUGAAUAAAUGAUGAAAUUUGACACAGAGACUCACAAAGUCACAAUAUACAAAAUGGUGAUCUGUGGCAAAAUGGGCUCAAGACUCAACGAUUUGGGUUGGCCCUUGCCUUUCCAAAUUUGUAGGCUGUACAUAACCUACUGGGAGGUUCACUGGGCGAGCAUUGAACUUCAAAAAUUAAUGUCGGUCGUUUCUCUCACCAAAAAAUGGUGAGGUAAGUGGCUAAAGAAAGAUGAAGGAAUCUAGUACAAAAUACUCAAGUUUGAAGGAUUUUCAGCGAUUAAAACUGGACGUAUGUCCGAUUGGAAAAGGUCUACCAAAAUUGGAUUUAAUCCAAGCAUCAAAUUUUGAACAUCACAAAAUAUUUUCAAGAGCUCAUAAAUAUUUGAAAUUUUACCACGAGGCAGAAGAUAUAUGAAUAGGCAAACUGUUAAAAUUUGAGAAUUUUUAGAGAUAAUUUAGUCUAUUGAAACUGGCUCGCAAUCCACUGUCGUGAUAGUGUGCUUUCGGCAGAGUUCAACCCUCAUCCCAAACUGGGUUCUUAACCCUUAAAAGCUCAUCAAACCCACCAAUAAAGACCAUGACACACCCAAACAUGAUAAAUCUAUACAUAUAAAACAAAUAUUCAUGCUCAUCUCAAGACUAGCCAAAUAGAUACUCACCUUUGUAGCUUAAUAUUUACUCUAACUUUAUGUCCUAAUCCUUUUCUCAUGUCCAUUCCCUUUCUUUCCUAGCUUUCUUUAGGCUUCAAGGGGAUGCUGUUGGGGUGGCGAAGUAAUGGAGAAGAAAUCUUGGUAAUGAGCAGAGAAGUGGUAUAAGCCAGAGGAGCGGGCUUCAUCAGAGAAACGGGCUUCCGCAGAGAAGUCAGAAGGAUGGGCCUUGCCAGAGGAAUGGUCUUCGCCAGAGGAAUCACCAAAAGAGCGGGAAAUUCUCCCGCUUGAGGGCAGAAUUACUACUAUACCCCCGACCACGCAAGACGCAUGUUCCAGCAAUGAAGUUACCAUUCUACCCUUAACGUGUAAUCUAUAAAUAGCCAUGAGCAUGUACCUUGUAGACUUACGCUUACUUCACUUGCAAUACAACAGCAACCGGAUUCUCGUGCU